UUCUUCCAGAAUGUCAACAACACAAGACCUUCCAACAAGACAGAGCAGUCGCAGAUGAGACGAACCGUAGCAGUACUACCUAACGCAUGCGCAGAAGGCGUUUUUCAGAACCUACGCUGGUGCCUUCAAUAUCAUGGCAUACGAACUGUCUUCAAAUCGGAAACUACUGCAUAGCUAUCUGGUGUGUCCCAAAGACCUAGUCCCACCCGGCAGACGGUGGACGGCACGUGACUGGGUGUGCAUUACGUCACCAUUCAUGAGAAAAGCCAACAAUAGCAUACCUGGCUAUCAUCAGCAAUAAAUCCUGUCAUCUACGCCUAGGAUAUUAACAUCUCUCACGAGAACGCAUGAACGUGGAAUUCUUCAACAUGGGUGAGAAGGUUUACCUUGCCGUCUCUUCAACUUGCAGCACAGAUAAUAAAAUCAUUAAA
This is a long non-coding RNA of Actinia tenebrosa (Australian red waratah sea anemone), 431 nucleotides long. The record is from RefSeq and is a predicted model, not a curated record. NCBI's taxonomy places the organism in Eukaryota, Metazoa, Cnidaria, Anthozoa, Actiniaria, Actiniidae.